Molecule: ribosomal RNA, 253 nt
Filed under: uncultured bacterium
Lineage: Bacteria
Description: partial 16S ribosomal RNA
Rfam family: Bacterial small subunit ribosomal RNA
Source: RNAcentral
UACGUAGGGUGCGAGCGUUAAUCGGAAUUACUGGGCGUAAAGUGUGCGCAGGUGGCUGAGCAAGUCGAGUGUGAAAUCCCCGGGCUUAACUUGGGAAUUGCGCUCGAAACUACUUGGCUCGAGUGUGGCAGAGGAAGGUGGAAUUCCAGGUGUAGCGGUGAAAUGCGUAGAGAUCUGGAGGAACACCGAUGGCGAAGGCAGCCUUCUGGGCCAACACUGACGCUCAUGCACGAAAGCGUGGGGAGCAAACAGG